CAGCUAGUUGGUGGGGUAAAGGCCUACCAAGGCGACGAUCCAUAGCUGGUCUGAGAGGAUGAUCAGCCACAUUGGGACUGAGACACGGCCCAAACUCCUACGGGAGGCAGCAGUGGGGAAUAUUGGACAAUGGGCGCAAGCCUGAUCCAGCCAUGCCGCGUGAGUGAUGAAGGCCCUAGGGUUGUAAAGCUCUUUCACCGGAGAAGAUAAUGACGGUAUCCGGAGAAGAAGCCCCGGCUAACUUCGUGCCAGCAGCCGCGGUAAUACGAAGGGGGCUAGCGUUGUUCGGAUUUACUGGGCGUAAAGCGCACGUAGGCGGAUCGAUCAGUCAGGGGUGAAAUCCCAGAGCUCAACUCUGGAACUGCCUUUGAUACUGUCGAUCUGGAGUAUGGAAGAGGUGAGUGGAAUUCCGAGUGUAGAGGUGAAAUUCGUAGAUAUUCGGAGGAACACCAGUGGCGAAGGCGGCUCACUGGUCCAU
RNAcentral lists this ribosomal RNA (478 nucleotides) under uncultured Alphaproteobacteria bacterium. RNAcentral describes it as "SSU rRNA". It matches the Rfam family "Bacterial small subunit ribosomal RNA", at positions 242 to 737 of the family's 1533-position model. The record is from RNAcentral. Lineage: Bacteria; Pseudomonadati; Pseudomonadota; Alphaproteobacteria.